AACGAACGCUGGCGGCAUGCCUAACACAUGCAAGUCGAACGAGACCUUCGGGUCUAGUGGCGCACGGGUGCGUAACGCGUGGGAACCUGCCUUUAGGUUCGGAAUAACUCAGAGAAAUUUGAGCUAAUACCGGAUGAUGUCUUCGGACCAAAGAUUUAUCGCCUUUAGAUGGGCCCGCGUUGGAUUAGCUAGUUGGUGGGGUAAAGGCCUACCAAGGCGACGAUCCAUAGCUGGUCUGAGAGGAUGAUCAGCCACACUGGGACUGAGACACGGCCCAGACUCCAACGGGAGGCGGCAGAGGGGAAUAUGGGACAAUGGGCGAAAGCCUGAUCCACCAAUGCCGCGUGAGUGAUGAAGGCCUUAGGGUUGUAAAGCUCUUUUACCCGAGAUGAUAAUGACAGUAUCGGGAGAAUAAGCUCCGGCUAACUCCGU
This 432-nucleotide ribosomal RNA is filed under the name uncultured bacterium. RNAcentral's name for it is "partial 16S ribosomal RNA". It matches the Rfam family "Bacterial small subunit ribosomal RNA", at positions 29 to 506 of the family's 1533-position model. The record is from RNAcentral.